This 549-nucleotide ribosomal RNA is filed under the name uncultured Methanosaeta sp. Its description in RNAcentral is "bacterial SSU rRNA". It matches the Rfam family "Archaeal small subunit ribosomal RNA", at positions 446 to 992 of the family's 1478-position model. The record is from RNAcentral. Lineage: Archaea; Methanobacteriati; Methanobacteriota; Methanomicrobia; Methanotrichales; Methanotrichaceae.
GCAAGACCGGUGCCAGCCGCCGCUGUAACACCGGCGGCCCGAGUGGUAACCGUUAUUAUUGGGUCUAAAGGGUCUGUAGCCGGCCGAAUAAGUCUCUUGGGAAAUCUGGCAGCUUAACUGUCAGGCAGUCAGGGGAUACUGUUCGGCUUGGGACCGGGAGAGGUGAGAGGUACUUCGGGGGGUAGGGGUGGAAUCUUGUGAUCCUCGAGGGACCACCAGUGGCGAAGGCGACUCACCAGAACGGGUCCGACGGUAAGGGACCAAAGCUAGGGGCACGAACCGGAUUAGAUACCCGGGUAGUCCUAGCCGUAAACGAUGCUUGCUAGGUGUCAGCCACGGUGCGACCGUGGUUGGUGCCGUAGGGAAGCCGUGAAGCAAGCCGCCUGGGAAGUACGGCCGCAAGGCUGAAACUUAAAGGAAUUGGCGGGGGAGCACUACAACGGGUGGAGCCUGCGGUUUAAUUGGAUUCAACGCCGGAAAGCUCACCGGGGGCGACAGCGAUAUGAAGGUCAGGCUGAAGACCUUACCCGAUUAGCUGCAGAGGUGGUG